Psammomys obesus (fat sand rat) is the source of this 580-nucleotide long non-coding RNA. RefSeq lists it as uncharacterized. NCBI's taxonomy places the organism in Eukaryota, Metazoa, Chordata, Mammalia, Rodentia, Muridae. The record is from RefSeq and is a predicted model, not a curated record. The transcript has 2 exons.
CACGGCAGGGGCCAUUUAACCUGGCUCUCUCAACCAAGAGAACUCUGUGGACCUCAGUGCUGAUGGCCCAUCGCAGUCACAGUCACUCAACGGUGCUUCGGUGUCCGGCACAGGCCAGAUUUCCUCCCCAGGCUCCUUCUUGUGUCUGCUCAGUAUCUGAGGGAAUUCUUCAGUGGCCAGAACAACAAGAAACCUCAAACCUGUGUGGCUGGAACUUGGAUUUCACCAUGUAGACCAGGAUGGCCUUGAACUGACAGAGAUCUACACCUUUCUUCCUCCAAAGUUCUGGAAUUAAAGGCACAUGGUCUUUAUGCCCCAUGGUCCAGCCUCACACUGUAACAGAGAAAUCAAGGGUGCUUACUCACAGUCAAAAGGCUGUGUCACAAUCUUCCUGUUGUGAUCUCCCAAUCAAAUUUCCCCAUCUUAUCUUCUGCUAUGCCCUUUGACCAUUGUUUCACAAACCAGAGUCUGCAGAGCUCUGAGUUCUGGGAGAGGAGAGAAGUUCCUAUUGAUAAUUUUGGAAUUAUCUGUCUUUGGUUCAGUAGUAAUUAGGGGGAAAUAUAUAUACAUAUAUGCCAUC